Molecule: ribosomal RNA, 202 nt
Filed under: uncultured bacterium
Lineage: Bacteria
Description: partial 16S ribosomal RNA
Rfam family: Bacterial small subunit ribosomal RNA
Source: RNAcentral
ACUCCCUACCGGGAGGCAGCAGUGGGGAAUAUUGCACAAUGGGGGAAACCCUGAUGCAGCCAUGCCGCGUGUGUGAAGAAGGCCUUCGGGUUGUAAAGCACUUUCAGUAGGGAGGAAGGUAGUGUAGUUAACACCUGCAUUAUUUGACGUUACCCUACAGAAGAAGCACCGGCUAACUCCGUGCCAGCAGCCGCGGUAAUAC